RNAcentral lists this ribosomal RNA (309 nucleotides) under uncultured bacterium. RNAcentral describes it as "bacterial SSU rRNA". It matches the Rfam family "Bacterial small subunit ribosomal RNA", at positions 1186 to 1494 of the family's 1533-position model. The record is from RNAcentral.
CAAGUCCUCAUGGCCCUUAUAGGUGGGGCUACACACGUCAUACAAUGGCUGGUACAAAGGGUUGCCAACCCGCGAGGGGGAGCUAAUCCCAUAAAGCCAGUCGUAGUCCGGAUCGCAGUCUGCAACUCGACUGCGUGAAGUCGGAAUCGCUAGUAAUCGUGGAUCAGAAUGUCACGGUGAAUACGUUCCCGGGUCUUGUACACACCGCCCGUCACACCAUGGGAGCGGGUUCUGCCAGAAGUAGUUAGCCUAACCGUAAGGAGGGCGAUUACCACGGCAGGGUUCGUGACUGGGGUGAAGUCGUAACAA